This 483-nucleotide ribosomal RNA is filed under the name uncultured bacterium. RNAcentral's name for it is "partial 16S ribosomal RNA". It matches the Rfam family "Bacterial small subunit ribosomal RNA", at positions 30 to 507 of the family's 1533-position model. The record is from RNAcentral.
AUUGAACGCUGGCGGCAGGCCUAACACAUGCAAGUCGAGCGGAUGAAGGGAGCUUGCUCCUGGAUUCAGCGGCGGACGGGUGAGUAAUGCCUAGGAAUCUGCCUGGUAGUGGGGGAUAACGUCCGGAAACGGGCGUUAAUACCGCAUACGUCCUGAGGGAGAAAGUGGGGGAUCUUCGGACCUCACGCUAUCAGAUGAGCCUAGGUCGGAUUAGCUAGUUGGUGGGGUAAGGCCUACCAAGGCGACGAUCCGUAACUGGUCUGAGAGGAUGAUCAGUCACACUGGAACUGAGACACGGUCCAGACUCCUACGGGAGGCAGCAGUGGGGAAUAUUGGACAAUGGGCGAAAGCCUGAUCCAGCCAUGCCGCGUGUGUGAAGAAGGUCUUCGGAUUGUAAAGCACUUUAAGUUGGGAGGAAGGGCAGUAAGUUAAUACCUUGCUGUUUUGACGUUACCAACAGAAUAAGCACCGGCUAACUUCGUG